GAUGAACGCUGGCGGCGUGCUUAACACAUGCAAGUCGAACGGAAAGGCUCCUGCUUGCAGGGGUACUCGAUUGGCGAACGGGUGAGUAACACGUGGGUGAUCUGCCCUGCACUUCGGGAUAAGCCUGGGAAACUGGGUCUAAUACCGGAUAGGACCACAUUUUGGAUGGUGUGGUGGAAAGUUUGUCGGUGUGGGAUGAGCUCGCGGCCUAUCAGCUUGUUGGUGGGGUAAUGGCCUACCAAGGCGUCGACGGGUAGCCGGCCUUGGAGGGGGUACGGCCACCAUGGGACUGCGGGAGGGCCCAGAAGCCUAAGGGGGGCAGGAGGGGGGAAUAUUGCACAAUGGGGGCAAGCCUGAGGCGAAGGCGGCGGGUGGGGGAAGACCGGCUUUGGGGUGAGAAAACCUUUCGGUAGGGACGAAGCGGCAGUGACGGUACCUAGAGAAGAAGCACCGGCUAACUUCGUG
Molecule: ribosomal RNA, 465 nt
Filed under: uncultured bacterium
Lineage: Bacteria
Description: partial 16S ribosomal RNA
Rfam family: Bacterial small subunit ribosomal RNA
Source: RNAcentral